Molecule: unclassified non-coding RNA, 335 nt
Filed under: soil metagenome
Description: partial contains 5.8S ribosomal RNA, internal transcribed spacer 2, and large subunit ribosomal RNA
Rfam family: 5.8S ribosomal RNA (bases 1-120)
Source: RNAcentral
GAUGAAGAACGUAGCGAAAUGCGAUAAGUAAUGUGAAUUGCAGAAUUCAGUGAAUCAUCGAAUCUUUGAACGCACAUUGCGCCCGCCAGUAUUCUGGCGGGCAUGCCUGUUCGAGCGUCAUUUCAACCAUCAAGCCCCCGGCUUGUGUUGGGGACCUGCGGCUGCCGCAGGCCCUGAAAACCAGUGGCGGGCUCGCUAGUCACUCCGAGCGUAGUAAUACAUCUCGCUCUGGGCGUGCUGCGGGUUCCGGCCGUUAAAAAACCCUUUUAACCCAAGGUUGACCUCGGAUCAGGUAGGAAUACCCGCUGAACUUAAGCAUAUCAAUAAGCGGAGGA